UGGUGUAUAGCGAACUAUAUUACAGAUAAUGAUAAAUUAUUAAAUAUCAUAAAUUAUGCAUGUGCUAAAAUCAAUUGUGGAAUUAUUAUGGAAGGAGGUUCAUGUUAUCAUCCUAAUACUCCUCUUCAUCAUGCUUCUGUCGCCAUGAAUCUUUAUUAUCAAGCUCAAGGAGGAAACCAAACGCAAAGCGAUUGCUCCUUCGAAGGCUCUGGUCUCAUUACCAUCACUGAUCCUAGCUAUGGGAGUUGCAAAUUUCAGUAUAGUCCGUAAAAGUAUGCAAAGCUUUGUAUUGGUUAAAAUAAAAUAAAAUGAAUAACAGAGAACUCUAUUUAUGGAAUUUCAUUUUGAUCUAAA
Raphanus sativus (radish) is the source of this 354-nucleotide long non-coding RNA. RefSeq lists it as uncharacterized. The record is from RefSeq and is a predicted model, not a curated record. NCBI's taxonomy places the organism in Eukaryota, Viridiplantae, Streptophyta, Magnoliopsida, Brassicales, Brassicaceae. The transcript is spliced from 2 exons.